GUUUUCCAUUCGGCAUUUAAGCCGGUUGUGCCGACCACCUUCUUUUGAAAGCCGACCACCUUUCGAUUUUAGGAGGUGGUCGGCUUUUUUUACAAAUUCCGGAUUAUUUUCGGUUCCGUACCGUUAAAAUUUGAAUACUAAUGGCGCCUCGCUGAUUUGUUUUCAUUAACAAAGAUGGCGUCCAAUCGUCAAAUUUCAAUGUUUUCAUUUAUCAAUCGGGGUAAAAGAAAGGCAGAUGACAAUGAUGAUAAAGAAAAUACCAGACCAAAUAAGUUAAAUAAAAUUGAUAGUAAUGUUGAAGUUGUCGAAAUUGAACAAAAAUCAACCAAACAACUGAAAAGACACGCAAGUGAAGACAAAUAUGAGCAAGACUUCAAAUGGCUUAUAGUCACAGAGGAAGGAUACUACUGUUCUGUGUGCCAAAAAUAUGACAAAAGCAAGAAACAGGACAUAAAAUUGUAAAUGAAAGAAGAGAGAAAAGAGAUAAAUUGUUGAAAAAAAUCAAAUCAAAAAAUAUUUGGCAAUCCUUCUUCUUCUGUACGUAUAUACUUCCAAUUAUGAAACACCUCCGCAAUUGAUAUUAUCCAGACG
RNAcentral lists this long non-coding RNA (591 nucleotides) under Mytilus galloprovincialis (Mediterranean mussel). Lineage: Eukaryota; Metazoa; Mollusca; Bivalvia; Mytilida; Mytilidae. The record is from RNAcentral.